GAUGAACGCUGGCGGCGUGCCUAAUACAUGCAAGUCGAGCGAACAGACGAGGAUCUUGCUCCUCUGACGUUAGCGGCGGACGGGUGAGUAACACGUGGAUAACCUACCUAUAAGACUGGGAUAACUUCGGGAAACCGGAGCUAAUACCGGAUAAUAUAUUGAACCGCAUGGUUCAAUAGUGAAAGACGGUUUUGCUGUCACUUAUAGAUGGAUCCGCGCCGCAUUAGCUAGUUGGUAAGGUAACGGCUUACCAAGGCAACGAUGCGUAGCCGCCCUGAGAGGGUGAUCGGCCACACUGGAACUGAGACACGGUCCAGACUCCUACGGGAGGCAGCAGUAGGGAAUCUUCCGCAAUGGGCGAAAGCCUGACGGAGCAACGCCGCGUGAGUGAUGAAGGUCUUCGGAUCGUAAAACUCUGUUAUUAGGGAAGAACAAAUGUGUAAGUAACUAUGCACGUCUUGACGGUACCUAAUCAGAAAGCCACGGCUAACUACGUG
Molecule: ribosomal RNA, 497 nt
Filed under: uncultured bacterium
Lineage: Bacteria
Description: partial 16S ribosomal RNA
Rfam family: Bacterial small subunit ribosomal RNA
Source: RNAcentral